UUCAAAGAGACCCCAUUUCUUAGCCUAGCC
RNAcentral lists this non-coding RNA (30 nucleotides) under Mus musculus (house mouse). The record is from RNAcentral. Lineage: Eukaryota; Metazoa; Chordata; Mammalia; Rodentia; Muridae.